UAGGGAAUCUUCCACAAUGGGCGAAAGCCUGAUGGAGCAACGCCGCGUGUGUGAUGAAGGCUUUAGGGUCGUAAAGCACUGUUGUAUGGGAAGAAAUGCUAGAAUAGGGAAUGAUUCUAGUUCGACGGUACCAUACCAGAAAGGGACGGCUAAAUACGUGCCAGCAGCCGCGGUAAUACGUAUGUCCCGAGCGUUAUCCGGAUUUAUUGGGCGUAAAGCGAGCGCAGACGGUUGAUUAAGUCUGAUGUGAAAGCCCGGAGCUCAACUCCGGAAUGGCAUUGGAAACUGGUUAACUUGAGUGUUGUAGAGGUAAGUGGAACUCCAUGUGUAGCGGUGGAAUGCGUAGAUAUAUGGAAGAACACCAGUGGCGAAGGCGGCUUACUGGACAACAACUGACGUUGAGGCUCGAAAGUGUGGGUAGCAAACAGGAUUAGAUACCCUGGUAGUCCACACCGUNNCGAUGAAUACUAGGUGUUAGGAGGNUUCCGCCUCNUAGUGNCNAAGCUAACNCAUUAAGUAUUCCGCCUGGGGAGUACGACCGCANGGUUG
RNAcentral lists this ribosomal RNA (549 nucleotides) under uncultured bacterium. RNAcentral's name for it is "bacterial SSU rRNA". It matches the Rfam family "Bacterial small subunit ribosomal RNA", at positions 355 to 896 of the family's 1533-position model. The record is from RNAcentral.